CCGGGCCCCGCAGUGGCAGCUGUGAUGACUUCAUGACUCUCGCACGGCCCCGGGCCGGGGAACAGGGCCGGGAUUGUAUUCGCAGGCUGCGAGCAGCAUGUGUGAAGGAACAGAGUCAGACUGGACCUCCAGCCCUGCUUGUCUGUUCCACCCAGAGGGAGAUUCCUGGGGAGUGAUGUGGCCACAAGCACCCCCAGGACCCUGCUUCACCAACGUCCGGGUGAUGGGAGAACUGAAAUUGAGACCCCACGCAGUGUGAUUGCCAAGUUCCCUGACAUUUCAGGGUGGUGACAGUGGCCCAUCCUGGCCCUGAAUGGAUGGGAGGAGCUUGGGCUGGGGGCGUCAGGUAUGACUAUGUUCGUUGCAGCAGUAUUUGUGAUGGUGAAUAACCCAAGUGUCUGUCAAAGAGAACGGAUAAAUAAAAUGUGGUGUAUUUAAA
Vicugna pacos (alpaca) is the source of this 439-nucleotide non-coding RNA. The record is from RefSeq and is a predicted model, not a curated record. Lineage: Eukaryota; Metazoa; Chordata; Mammalia; Artiodactyla; Camelidae.